CAACCCUCAAGCCUAGCUUGGUAUUGGGUGUCACCAGCCAGGUGCUCCCUAAAAUCAGUGGCGGUGCCAUUUGGCCUCAAGCGUAGUAAUACUUCUCGCUUUAGAGGUUAGGGUGCGCGCUUGCCAAAACCACUAUUUUUCAAA
RNAcentral lists this unclassified non-coding RNA (144 nucleotides) under uncultured Leotiomycetes. RNAcentral describes it as "sequence contains ITS2". Lineage: Eukaryota; Fungi; Ascomycota; Leotiomycetes. RNAcentral also lists the same sequence under 1 other name. The record is from RNAcentral.